AGACCCAGAGGACUACGCAACAGGAAGUUGAUAGUGAUGAACCAUGCACAUCCCGCUUAAGAAGAUGUACAGAGGCUUUUGAAAUCGAAGCUGUAACCAAAGAACCAGUCACGCCCCAUUCAAAAGAACCAGUCACGCC
Molecule: long non-coding RNA, 139 nt
Organism: Xenopus laevis (African clawed frog)
Lineage: Eukaryota; Metazoa; Chordata; Amphibia; Anura; Pipidae
Exons: 3
Source: RefSeq, a predicted model, not a curated record